Molecule: ribosomal RNA, 468 nt
Filed under: uncultured bacterium
Lineage: Bacteria
Description: partial 16S ribosomal RNA
Rfam family: Bacterial small subunit ribosomal RNA
Source: RNAcentral
GACGAACGCUGGCGGCGUGCUUAACGCAUGCAAGUCGAACGGAAAGGCCCUGCUUUUGUGGGGUGCUCGAGUGGCGAACGGGUGAGUAACACGUGAGUAACCUGCCCUUGACUUUGGGAUAACUUCAGGAAACUGGGGCUAAUACCGGAUAGGAGCUCCUGCUGCAUGGUGGGGGUUGGAAAGUUUCGGCGGUUGGGGAUGGACUCGCGGCUUAUCAGCUUGUUGGUGGGGUAGUGGCUUACCAAGGCUUUGACGGGUAGCCGGCCUGAGAGGGUGACCGGCCACAUUGGGACUGAGAUACGGCCCAGACUCCUACGGGAGGCAGCAGUGGGGAAUAUUGCACAAUGGGCGGAAGCCUGAUGCAGCAACGCCGCGUGCGGGAUGACGGCCUUCGGGUUGUAAACCGAUUUCGCCUGUGACGAAGCGUGAGUGACGGUAAUGGGUAAAGAAGCACCGGCUAACUACGUG